This 253-nucleotide ribosomal RNA is filed under the name uncultured bacterium. Its description in RNAcentral is "partial 16S ribosomal RNA". It matches the Rfam family "Bacterial small subunit ribosomal RNA", at positions 524 to 776 of the family's 1533-position model. The record is from RNAcentral.
GACGGAGGAUGCAAGCGUUAUCCGGAAUGAUUGGGCGUAAAGCGUCCGCAGGUGGCCGUUCAAGUCUACUGUCAAAGACCGGGGCUUAACUUCGGAAAGGCAGUGGAAACUGAACAGCUAGAGUAUGGUAGGGGCAGAGGGAAUUCCUGGUGUAGCGGUGAAAUGCGUAGAGAUCAGGAAGAACAUCGGUGGCGAAGGCGCUCUGCUGGACCAUAACUGACACUCAGGGACGAAAGCUAGGGGAGCGAAUGGG